AACGCUAGCUACAGGCUUAACACAUGCAAGUCGAGGGGAAACGAUAUUGGAAGCUUGCUUCCGAUAGGCGUCGACCGGCGCACGGGUGAGUAACGCGUAUCCAACCUGCCCAUCACUUGGGAAUAACCUUGCGAAAGUAAGACUAAUGCCCAAUGACAUUUAUAGAAGGCAUCUGAAAUGAAUUAAAGAUUUAUCGGUGAUGGAUGGGGAUGCGUCUGAUUAGCUUGUUGGCGGGGUAACGGCUCACCAAGGCGACGAUCAGUAGGGGUUCUGAGAGGAAGGUCCCCCACAUUGGAACUGAGACACGGUCCAAACUCCUACGGGAGGCAGCAGUGAGGAAUAUUGGUCAAUGGGCGAGAGCCUGAACCAGCCAAGUAGCGUGCAGGAAGACGGCCCUAUGGGUUGUAAACUGCUUUUAUAGGGGAAUAAAGUGAGCCACGUGUGGUUUUUUGCAUGUACCCUAUGAAUAAGGACCGGCUAAUUCCGUGCCAGCAGCCGCGGUAAUACGGAAGGUCCGGGCGUUAUCCGGAUUUAUUGGGUUUAAAGGGAGCGUAGGCCGGAGAUUAAGCGUGUUGUGAAAUGUAGACGCUCAACGUCUGCACUGCAGCGCGAACUGGUUUCCUUGAGUACGCAUAAAGUGGGCGGAAUUCGUGGUGUAGCGGUGAAAUGCUUAGAUAUCACGAAGAACUCCGAUUG
RNAcentral lists this ribosomal RNA (696 nucleotides) under uncultured bacterium. RNAcentral's name for it is "bacterial SSU rRNA". It matches the Rfam family "Bacterial small subunit ribosomal RNA", at positions 32 to 715 of the family's 1533-position model. The record is from RNAcentral.